This is a long non-coding RNA of Rattus norvegicus (Norway rat), 625 nucleotides long. Lineage: Eukaryota; Metazoa; Chordata; Mammalia; Rodentia; Muridae. The record is from Ensembl.
UGUGUGUGUGUGUGACAGGAGAGUGCAUGUGGUGUGUGUGAGAUAUGUGUGAGGUGUGUGUGAAGACUGUGUGUGUGCGUGACAGGAGAGUGCAUGUGGUGUGUGUGAGAUAUGUGUGAGGUGUGUAUGAAGACUGUGUGUGUGCGUGACAGGAGAGUGCAUGUGGUGUGUGUGAGAUAUGUAUGAGGUGUGUGUGAAGACUGUGUGUGUGCGUGACAGGAGAGUGCAUGUGGUGUGUGUGAGAUAUGUGUGAGGUGUGUGUGAAGACUGUGUGUGUGCGUGACAGGAGAGUGCAUGUGGUGUGUGUGAGAUAUGUGUGAGGUGUGUAUGAAGAGUGUGUGUGAGAAUGAAAGGGUAAUGAACAGAGGUGUGCAUGAGUGUGGGAGUUUGAAAAGAGAAAACUGCAAUAAAAAAAGCAGAGUGCACAAAAGAAUGCAGAGUGUGUUUAUCCUCAAGCUCUGAGAGAGUGAGAGAGAGAGAGACAGAGAGAGAGAGAGAGAGAGAGAGAGAGAGAGAGAGAGAGAGAGAGAAUGACUUUAAGCCUUGAAGUUGCCUGUCAGUUUGUACCCAAAGAGUAGUCUGUGGGUAUGUAUUAUGCGCCUUCCAGAUAACCCUGUUUCCAGGU